UCUGCCUGAAGAAGAGCUGCAGGAGGUGAGGACGGAGAGGAGGAGAGGCCUGGAAGCUCUUCUGACAAGAGAAUCGUCUAUGCCACUGGCGUUCUGAGUGUGGCUGUCACUGACUGGGACACGACGGUGCCUCAAAAUCCACCCUGUGUGCUCAGAGCCACUUCCUGCGACUGCCUCUGCCCAGAGAGCAAGCAUAGCGGGCACUCAGGCCCGCCCGUGGCUGCAAGACUCGGGGCUCCCGUGCUGGGUGACCUUGGCGGGAAGACCUCCCUUCAGUCUCACCAAACUGUCCUAGAACUGCACACAGUCAAAGAUACAUCCAUCUGGCUUCCUUGCGUCCUCUCUGGUUCAAAUGGGGCCGAGCUGCGCUGCGGUGCAACAGCGCCCCCUGGCUUCGUUCCGGUUUUCCCAGCGGACUUCCCCUCUUACUCAUCUCUCGCUUCUCUAUCCCUGUCUUGGUUCUCCUUUUGGAGGACCUAGCCGAAUACAAGAGGCAAGACAGCCUUUGUGCACAUUAGGAAACGCCUGCACCACCCCUACUGCCCGUGACUAGAUCCCCACAGAACCAGAUGUGGGGAGAAGAGGAAACGACGACAAAUCAAAGGUGCCCCCUCCGGGGGGUCCCCCAGGUGCACCCCAGGGUGCUUUUCUUCAACAAGAGUCUACCAACCGACUAUAUGCG
Molecule: long non-coding RNA, 682 nt
Filed under: Chinchilla lanigera (long-tailed chinchilla)
Lineage: Eukaryota; Metazoa; Chordata; Mammalia; Rodentia; Chinchillidae
Description: lncRNA (ENSCLAG00000024314.1)
Source: RNAcentral